UACGGAGGGUGCAAGCGUUAAUCGGAAUUACUGGGCGUAAAGCGCACGCAGGCGGUUUUUUAAGUUAGAUGUGAAAUCCCCGGGCUUAACCUGGGAACUGCAUCUGAGACUGGAAAGCUAGAGUCUUGUAGAGGGGGGUGGAAUUCCAUGUGUAGCGGUGAAAUGCGUAGAGAUGUGGAGGAAUACCGGUGGCGAAGGCGGCCCCCUGGACAAAGACUGACGCUCAGGUGCGAAAGCGUGGGGAGCAAACAGG
Molecule: ribosomal RNA, 253 nt
Filed under: uncultured bacterium
Lineage: Bacteria
Description: partial 16S ribosomal RNA
Rfam family: Bacterial small subunit ribosomal RNA
Source: RNAcentral